AUUGAACGCUGGCGGCAGGCCUAACACAUGCAAGUCGAGCGGAUGAAGGGAGCUUGCUCCUGGAUUCAGCGGCGGACGGGUGAGUAAUGCCUAGGAAUCUGCCUGGUAGUGGGGGAUAACGUCCGGAAACGGGCGCUAAUACCGCAUACGUCCUGAGGGAGAAAGUGGGGGAUCUUCGGACCUCACGCUACCAGAUGAGCCUAGGUCGGAUUAGCUAGUUGGUGGGGUAAAGGCCUACCAAGGCGACGAUCCGUAACUGGUCUGAGAGGAUGAUCAGUCACACUGGAACUGAGACACGGUCCAGACUCCUACGGGAGGCAGCAGUGGGGAAAACUGGACAAUGGGCGAAAGCCUGAUCCAGCCAUGCCGCGUGUGUGAAGAAGGUCUUCGGAUUGUAAAGCACUUUAAGUUGGGAGGAAGGGCAGUAAGUUAAUACCUUGCUGUUUUGACGUUACCAACAGAAUAAGCACCGGCUAACUUCGUG
This 484-nucleotide ribosomal RNA is filed under the name uncultured bacterium. Its description in RNAcentral is "partial 16S ribosomal RNA". It matches the Rfam family "Bacterial small subunit ribosomal RNA", at positions 30 to 507 of the family's 1533-position model. The record is from RNAcentral.